UAGGGAAUCUUCGGCAAUGGACGGAAGUCUGACCGAGCAACGCCGCGUGAGUGAAGAAGGUUUUCGGAUCGUAAAGCUCUGUUGUAAGAGAAGAACGAGUGUGAGAGUGGAAAGUUCACACUGUGACGGUAUCUUACCAGAAAGGGACGGCUAACUACGUGCCAGCAGCCGCGGUAAUACGUAGGUCCCGAGCGUUGUCCGGAUUUAUUGGGCGUAAAGCGAGCGCAGGCGGUUAGAUAAGUCUGAAGUUAAAGGCUGCGGCUUAACCAUAGUACGCUUUGGAAACUGUUUAACUUGAGUGCAAGAGGGGAGAGUGGAAUUCCAUGUGUAGCGGUGAAAUGCGUAGAUAUAUGGAGGAACACCGGUGGCGAAAGCGGCUCUCUGGCUUGUAACUGACGCUGAGGCUCGAAAGCGUGGGGAGCAAACAGGAUUAGAUACCCUGGUAGUCCACGCCGUAAACGAUGAGUGCUAGGUGUUAGACCCUUUCCGGGGUUUAGUGCCGUAGCUAACGCAUUAAGCACUCCGCCUGGGGAGUACGACCGCAAGGUUG
This 550-nucleotide ribosomal RNA is filed under the name uncultured bacterium. RNAcentral's name for it is "bacterial SSU rRNA". It matches the Rfam family "Bacterial small subunit ribosomal RNA", at positions 355 to 896 of the family's 1533-position model. The record is from RNAcentral.